AGAGUUUGAUCCUGGCUCAGGAUGAACGCUAGCUGACCCUUAAUACAUCAAGUCGAGCGGGAUGGUAGAAAAACAUGAGAGCGGCGGACGGGUGAGUAACGCGUACACGACCUACCUUUGACUGGGGGAUAGCCCUGGGAAACUGGGAUUAAUACCGCAUAUAAUUCUGAAUAAUAAAGGUUUGGAAUGAAAGUUCAGGCGGUCAGAGAUGGGUGUGCGUCUGAUUAGCUAGUUGGUAAGGUAACGGCUUACCAAGGCGAUGAUCAGUAGGGGGCGUGAGAGCGUGAUCCCCCACACGGGUACUGAGACACGGACCCGACUCCUACGGGAGGCAGCAGUAAGGAAUAUUGGACAAUGGCCGCAAGGCUGAUCCAGCCAUCCAGCGUGCAGGAAGAAGGCCCUACGGGUUGUAAACUGCUUUUGUCAGGGAAUAAACCUGUGGAUUACUCCGCAGCGAACGCCCGAAGAUAGCCCGC
RNAcentral lists this ribosomal RNA (476 nucleotides) under uncultured soil bacterium. RNAcentral describes it as "bacterial SSU rRNA". It matches the Rfam family "Bacterial small subunit ribosomal RNA", at positions 8 to 493 of the family's 1533-position model. The record is from RNAcentral.